AACGCGAAGAACCUUACCUGGGCUCGAAAUGUAGUGGAAUGGGGUGGAAACAUCCCCGUCUCGCAAGAGACUGCUAUAUAGGUGCUGCAUGGCUGUCGUCAGCUCGUGUCGUGAGAUGUUGGGUUAAGUCCCGCAACGAGCGCAACCCUUAUCCCUAGUUGCCAUCGGGUCAAGCCGGGCACUCUAGUGAAACCGCCCAGGAUAACUGGGAGGAAGGUGGGGAUGACGUCAAGUCCUCAUGGCCUUUAUGGGUAGGGCUACACACGUGCUACAAUGGGCACUACAAAGGGAAGCAAAGCUGCAAAGUGGAGCGGACCUCAAAAAGGUGCCCGUAGUCCGGAUUGGAGUCUGCAACUCGACUCCAUGAAGCUGGAAUCGCUAGUAAUCGCAAAUCAGAACGUUGCGGUGAAUACGUUCCCGGGCCUUGUACACACCGGCUAC
Molecule: ribosomal RNA, 441 nt
Filed under: uncultured bacterium
Lineage: Bacteria
Description: bacterial SSU rRNA
Rfam family: Bacterial small subunit ribosomal RNA
Source: RNAcentral